Molecule: ribosomal RNA, 253 nt
Filed under: uncultured bacterium
Lineage: Bacteria
Description: partial 16S ribosomal RNA
Rfam family: Bacterial small subunit ribosomal RNA
Source: RNAcentral
CACGUAGGGCGCAAGCGUUGUCCGGAAUUAUUGGGCGUAAAGAGCUCGUAGGCGGUCUGUUACGUCUGCUGUGAAAACCCGGGGCUUAACCCUGGGCUUGCAGUGGAUACGGGCAGACUAGAGGCAGGUAGGGGAGAAUGGAAUUCCCGGUGUAGCGGUGAAAUGCGCAGAUAUCGGGAGGAACACCGGUGGCGAAGGCGGUUCUCUGGACAACUCCUGACACUGAGGCACGAAAGCUAGGGGAGCAAACAGG